UUCUCGCCCAGACCCUGCGCAGGAUGAGGAGAUGCUGCUGGAUGGCAAGAAAGUUCUGGUGUGCCAGGGCAAGCCCAUCCCCAUGGCUGCCUACAAGGACUCCUCCUUCAGCCAGAGCGAGUACCUCAUCUACCAGGAAAGCCAGUGCCGCAUCCGCUACCUUGUCCAGCUCCGGUUCUGAGGGUGCCUGGACACCCUGUGACCCCAUCCCAGCACCAGCUGGCGAUGCCCACCAGCCCACAGCACGGUGAUCUUGACUCCCCGGCCACCCCACCUGGGGCUUGGUAAGGGAGAGGCUGGCGUUGGUGACAGAACCUGCUUUUACCGUGAAUAAAAACAGUGUGCCUUGUACCAGGUGAUGCUGUCACUCUCCUGCCUGGCCAGGUGGGAGCGGAGCAGGGAAGGGUGGUGGUGGGUCCCUGCAGGGACGGUGGUGGGUGGCUCUGGAGGGGCUGCAGCCUGUUGUGGCUGUCUGGUGAAAGCUGGUGGCUUUGCGAGCCAGGUGCUCUUGUCACCUUCGCAAGGCGUGUGGCUCGUCCCCGUCACCGUGGUGUCAGAACUACAGAGGAUGAGCAAGGUGUGCUGCCCUGCCUGGGCAUGGAGGACCUCAUCCAUGGCCAAGCAAGAGGUGUGUCUGCCCUCCCUCUGGUGCCAUGCUUGGUGCCAUGCCUGCUGCCGUGCCGCAGCGUGGCAUCCAUGACAAACCCCUCUCCAUGUUCCCAUGUGCCCCCCGAGCAUGUGUCCAGGACCCCGGGGUGGCAGGGAAAGGAAAUUCCCAUCUGCGUUGUCCCAGUGCCCCAUGGAUGCUCCAGAGCACCCAUGGGCUGGCGGGGAGGAGACACCUCACACCCACCUGUAGGUCUGUCCCCUGAGCCCUGGGGACCUCGGGGCUGAGCCGUCCUUGCAGACGGACCAGGCCUGGCAUGGCGUGUGGCCAUGCUGGGGGGGGGGGGGGGGGGGGGGGGGGGGGGGGGGGGGGGGGGGGGGGGGGGGGGGGAGUGGGGUGGCACAGGGGUAGAGGACCCCCGGUCCCCCCUUCCCGAGCCCCCGCCGGCUGCUAGGACCCAGCAGCUGUCCCCGUGGGACCGCCACGAGUGCAGGCAGCGCCCGGGAGUGACAGCUGGUGCCAUCCGCAGCUGGCGGGCUGCAGGCAAACAGGAUGACGAGCGGGUGACGGGGCGCGGGGAAGGGGAAGGGGGGUGGUGGUGGGGGGAGCGUGGCCUGGCGCGGGGGCCGGCAGCCCCUUUUCUGCUGCGGGAGCGACGCCGGCAAGAAGGGUCCCCGGCGAGGAGGGGGAGCAUCGCCCACUUUCCCAGGAGCAAAGAGGCAAGAAGAAGACAGCAGCCAUGGCUCUGGUGGGGUUUCCCCCUAAGGGAUGCAGGAGAAGAGCCCUUGCUGCCUGGGCACCGGAGCUACUGGCUUAGCCCUCCCUGGGGAUGGCAAGCCGAAUGG
This 1452-nucleotide long non-coding RNA is filed under the name Calidris pygmaea (Spoon-billed sandpiper). RNAcentral's name for it is "lncRNA (ENSCPGG00000012583.1)". Lineage: Eukaryota; Metazoa; Chordata; Aves; Charadriiformes; Scolopacidae. The record is from RNAcentral.